Molecule: non-coding RNA, 10881 nt
Organism: Rattus norvegicus (Norway rat)
Lineage: Eukaryota; Metazoa; Chordata; Mammalia; Rodentia; Muridae
Source: RefSeq, a predicted model, not a curated record
UGCAAGUCGGUUCAGCUCUUUCUUUCUUUUUUUUUUUUUUUUUUUAUUAACUUGAGUAUUUCUUAUAUACAUUUCGAGUGUUAUUCCCUUUCCCGGUUUCCGGGCAAACAUCCCCCUCCCCCCUCCCCUUCCUUAUGGGUGUUCCCCUCCCAACCCUCCCCCCAUUGCCGCCCUCCCCCCAUAGACUAGUUCACUGUGGGUUCAGUCUUAGCAGGACCCAGGGCUUCCCCUUCCACUGGUGCUCUUACUAGGAUAUUCAUUGCUACCUAUGAGGUCAGAGUCCAGGGUCAGUCCAUGUAUAGUCUUUAGGUAGUGGCUUAGUCCCUGGAAGCUCUGGUUGCUUGGCAUUGUUGUACUUUUGGGGUCUCGAGCCCCUUCAAGCUCUUCCAGUUCUUUCUCUGAUUCCUUCAAUAGGGGACCUAUUCUCAGUUCAGUGGUUUGCUGCUGGCAUUCGCCUCUAUAUUUGCUGUAUUCUGGCUGUGUCUCUCAGGAGCGAUCUACAUCCGGCUCCUGUCGGUCUGCACUUCUUUGCUUCAUCCAUCUUGUCUAAUUGGGUGGCUGUAUAUGUAUGGGCCACAUGUGGGGCAGGCUCUGAAUGGGUGUUCCUUCAGUCUCUGUUUUAAUCUUUGCCUCUCCCUUCCCUGCCAAGGGUAUUCUUUUUCCUCAUUUAAAGAAGGAGUGAAGCAUUCACAUUUUGAUCAUCCGUCUUGAGUUUCGUUUGUUCUAGGGAUCUAGGGUAAUUCAAGCAUUUGGGCUAAUAGCCACUUAUCAAUGAGUGCAUACCAUGUAUGUCUUUCUGUGAUUGGGUUAGCUCACUCAGGAUGAUAUUUUCCAGUUCCAACCAUUUGCCUACGAAUUUCAUAAACUCGUUGUUUUUGAUAGCUGAGUAAUAUUCCAUUGUGUAGAUGUACCACAUUUUCUGUAUCCAUUCCUCUGUUGAAGGGCAUCUGGGUUCUUUCCAGCUUCUGGCUAUUAUAAAUAAGGCUGCGAUGAACAUAGUGGAGCACGUGUCUCUUUUAUAUGUUGAGGCAUCUUUUGGGUAUAUGCCCAAGAGAGGUAUAGCUGGAUCAUCAGGCAGGGUUCAGCUCUUUCAAUACUUCCUCUAAUUACCCUAAAGGAGGUCCUAUUCUCAGUUUAGUUGUUUGCUGCUAACAUUGACCUCUGUAUUGGACAUGCUCUGGAUGUGUCUCUCAGCAGAGAUCUAUAUCCAGUUCUUUUCAGCAUGCACUUUUUAGCUUCAUCAAUCUUAUGUAGUUUUGGUGGCUGUAAAUAUAUGAGUCAAAUGUGGGGCAGGCUCUGAAUGGCCGUUCCUUCAGUCGUUGCUCUAAACUUUGCUUCCAUAUUCCCUCCUAUGACUAUUUUUUCCCCUUUUAAGAAAGAGUGGGAGUAUCUGCAUUUUGGUCAUCCUUCUUCUUGAACUUCCUGUGGUCCUUGGAUUGCAUCUUGGGUAAUUCAAGCUUUUGGGCUAACAUCCACUUAUCAAUUAGUGCAAACCAAGUGUGUUUUACUGUGAUUGGAUUAUCUCACUCACGAUGAUAUUUUCCAGUUCCAUCCAUUUGCCUAUGAAUUUCAUAAAGUCAUUGUUUUUGAUGGCUGAGUAGUAUUCCAUUGUGUAGAUGUACCACACUUUUUGAAUCUAUUCCACUGUUGAAGGGCAUCUGGGUUCCUUCCAGUUCUGACUAUUAUAAUUGGGCUGCUAAUGAACAUAGUGGAGCACGUGUCUUUGUUGUAUGUUGCAGUAUCUUUUGGGUAAAUGACCAGAACAUAUCUUUUUAAACACAAAACAAAAAAGAUUUCUGGAAAUGUUUACUUGUUUGCUUUCUAGAAUAGGGUCGUUUUUUUACAGAUAAGGUUAUCACAAAACUUGCUUUAUUCCGGAGAGCAGGCAGGAUUUGAAUUUGAUAACAUCCUCUCUCAGUCUCCCAAAUGCUGGAAGUACAAGCACGUAGUAGCAAGCCAGCUGAUUAGAAAUAUUUUAUUUCUAGUAAUAUUUUGUUGUACUUAUGAUAACUCAUCUAUUUAUAAGUAUAAUUAUCUUUUUAACAAAGAUACUUCAGUCAAGCUUGUAGGGCAUUUGGACACUCCAGGUUGAGAAGAGGAGAUGGUAACAAUUAUAUUUUGGAGAUGGGGAAAAUUAUAGGAAGAGAAAUUCUAAUUGAUUUGUCUGCUCUUUGAAUUGAGUACACAAACUUGUGCCAGUCCACUUUGAAUUAAUUUUUUCAAAAUAUUACUCCAUUAUUCUCAAGGCUAAAUUACUAGUUUUUUAAAGUUUUAAGAUAAAAUGAAUUGAAAAAUAAAAUUGUGCCCAUUUUUAAAAGGGUACAAUGUGACUGACAGAACCACUAACAUUUUGUCUUAAGGAGAGAAAAAUGCCAAUGUUUGAAAAAAAAAUCUUAAAAAGUUUCAUUUAUGUUCAAACAAACCUGUAUAUAUGGCAGAAUAAAUCAGUAUGGACUCUUGAUAUAACAGGAAAUAUUGUUCAUUAAUGAACUAAUUAUUUUUAAAAUUCUUAAAGUUGUCAAUCCUUAAAACAUUAAGUAUUUUAAUUAUUUCAGAAUGAUGUCAUUUCUAGAAAGCUAAUAUAAAGUCAUUAAAGUUUCAGCAUUAUUAAUUACCAUUAAACUUUACUUCAAAUCAGAAUUUAGAUCUGGCUAUUUUUUAUAAAUAUAAAGGCAUUACUUUACAAUUGUAAUAAACACGUUAUGUGUGUAUUUGUGCACAUCAUUAUUCAUCCCAGCGCACACAAAUUUAAGACUCUAAAUAUGUAUACUAAAUCAUUAAUUGAUUAACUAAUUUUAUUUACCUCUAUCAUUUAAAUCAAUUUCUUUUGUGAGACCAUUAUGUAAGGGGCUUGUGUUUCACUAUUUGUAGUUUGUUUUAGUUUUCUUUAUACAUUAACUUAAUUUCUUGAGAUGUGUAUAUUGACUUGCUAUAUUACAGUGUUAAAAUCAAAAACCAGUCCUAGGUAUGUGAUGCCAUAUACAGUACAUACAAUUUUGUAUACUUGACUCUAAUUCAGAAAUAGUACAUCAUGUAGGUCAUGUGAAAAUUUUAAUUAGGCAUCAUUUUUAUCAGCAGAUAUAUAACAAUAUUUGAUGAUAAUAUAAUGCCAUCAAGAUAUAAAGUACAGCUUUUCAAAUAGCUGCAAAACAUUAAGAAACACUUAAGCUUAUAUGACUUGUUGAUAUUUAAUAAAUAAGAAAGGUGAAAAGACACCUUUAAAAAUGAGCAGAAAUUAAUAGUGGGAAAUAAAGGUUUAAAUAAAUGCUCACAUACUAAUAAAAUAAAACAUUAACAACAUUUCAAAAAUUUCAGCGAAAAAUAACAAGACUUCAAAAUACAGGAAAUUGGAGGACUUUUUUCUUUUCUCGAUAUCAAUUUUCUUUUAUUUUUUAAAUUUGUGUCAUAUAACACAACCCAACCACAGUUUUACCUCUCUCCACUCCUCCCAGCCCUCUGAGCUUCUCUCCUCCACAAAAACAAAUAUUUAAAUCAAGUAUCAAAACUUAUCAUCUAGCUAUGAGUGUUUCAUUUACUUUCCUGUUGAUGUGUUAAAAUGCUAUGACUGAGAAUAGCUAAAAUAUGAAAAGGUAUUGGGACACAAUUUCCGGGGAUGGAGGCAAUCAUGAUGAGUAGGCAUGGCAAUAGUCAGGUGAAGCUUGACAGCAAGAGAAGAACAGUGGAUGGUCACAUUUUUAUUCACACAAAGGAAGCAGAGAGAGAUAAGACAGUGACAGAGAGACACAGAGAGAGAGAGAGAAAGAGAGAGAGAGACAGAGACAGAGACACAGAGAGAGAGACAGAGAGUGAGACAGAGACAUAAACACAGACACAUUGACACAGAGACACACAGAGACAGAGACAGAGACAGAGACAGAGAGACAGACUAGAGCAGACAGUGAGGCAAAGAUCUCAGGUAACUUUUGUUUAAAUACUAGACUAUGGGGACCAUUCUUGUUUUUUUACCAUCAUAUAAAGGAAGUUCAGAAAACAUCUUCUCAACUGACACAUUAAUCACAAUACAAUACUAUAUUUUUAUAUGUAUAUAUUAAUAUGCUGUUUUAAUAUUUGAAAUAGAAUUUAUAGUCUGAACAACAUGGCUCAUAUAUGAUAUAAAAUUUCUUUUUUAUUGGAAUAUUUUAUUUAUUUUCAUUUCAAAUGUUAUUCCCUUUCUUGCUUUCCCCUUUGGAAAUAACCUAUACCAUUCCCCCUCUGCCUGCUUAUAUGAGGAUGCUCCCUUACCCUCCCAUACAAUCCUUCCUCCCUGAGCAGGCAUUCUCCUACACUGGGUCAUUUAGCCUUCACCAGACUAAGUGCCUCUCCUCCCCUUGAUGUCCAAAAAGGCCAUCCUCUGCUACAUAUUCAGCUAGAACCAUGGGUCCCUCCUUGUGUACUCUUUGGUUGGUGGGUUAGUCCCUGGGAGCUCUGGGGAGUCUGGUUGGUUGAUAUUGUUCUUCUUCCUCUGGGGUUGAAGGUGUUUACCUUCAGCUCCUUCAGUACCACCUCUAACUCCUCCAUUUGUGGACCCAGUGCUCAGUCAAAUGGUUGACUGCAAGCAUUCUCCUCUGUAUUUUUCAGGCUACCAGAGCCUCUUCAGAGACAGUUAUAUCAGGCUCCUGUCAGCAAGCACUUCUUGGCAUCCACAAUAGUGUCUGGGUUUGGUGUCUUUGUAAGGGAUGGAUCCACAGGGCAGUCAGAAAAAGACUUUUCCUUUCUUCAAGAACAUGAUCUGUGUAAUAGGUGUGCAUUUACCAUUAUUAUACUAAAGCAAGAUUGAUAAUCUUUAAUAAUUGCAUGAAAUUAUUUUCAAACAAGAUAACUGGCCUCACAUUCACAAAGAUCCUCAUGAGUCAGCUCCCAAAGUGCAGAAAUUCAGGAACGAUCAUUAACAAAUAUGAAGACUCGAGUCCCACACCCGCGGAUCCCUGCCCGCAGCAGCUCUCUCCUCCCAGACCCCGUGGAAAAGAGACCUCACCGACUAGCCAGCUGGGCACUCCUGAAGCUGCAGAGCGGAAAAGACCACCAACACUGCCCACCCCUGCCCACAUCCCUGGCCCAAGAGGAAACUGUUUAAGGCCUCUGGGUUCCCGUAGGGGAGGGCUCAGGAGCAGCAGGACCCCUGCACCUGAGACACUGCCGGAACCUGAAGGAACAGACCGGAUAGACAGUUCUCUGCACCCAAAUCCCGUGGGAGGGAGAGCUAAACCUUCAGAGAGGCAGACACGCCUGGGAAACCAGAAGAGACUGCACACUGCACACAUUACUGAUUCCAGAGGAAAACACCAAACUCCAUCUGGAACCCUGGUGCACUGAAGCUCCCGGAAAGGAAAUGGCAGCGCAGAUCUUCCUGUUGCUGCCUCACAGAGAGCUCGGGGGCAGCACUCCUUGAGCGAACUUGAGCCUCGGGACCACAGGUAAGACCAACUAUUCUGCUGCAAGUGAUCUGCCUGGUAAACACCAGAUACAGGCCCACAGGAACAGCUGAAGACUUGUAGAGAGGAAAAACUACACGCCCGAAAGCAGAACACUCUGUCCACAUAACUGGCUGAAAGAAAACAGGAAAACAGGUCUACAGCACUCCUGACACACAGACUUAUAGGACAGUCUAGCCACUGUCAGAAAUAGCAGAACAAAGUAACACUAGAGAUAAUCUGAUGGCGAAGGGAAGCGCAAGAACCCAAGCAACAGAAACCAAGACUACAUGGCACCAUCAGAGCCCAAUUCUCCCAUCAAAACAAACAUGGAAUAUCCAAACAUGCAGAAAAGCAAGAUCUAGUUUCAAAAUCAUAUUUGAUAAUGAUGCUGGAGGACUUCAAGAAAGACAUGAAGAACUCCCUUAGAGAAACACAGAAAAACAUUAAUAAACAAGUAGAAGCCUACAGAGAGGAAUCACAAAAAUCCCUGAAAGAAUUCCAGGAAAACAUAAAUAAACAGGUAGAAGCCCAUAGAGAGGAGACACUAAAAUCCCUGAAAGAAUUCCAGGAAAACACAAUCAAACAGUUGAAGGAAUUAAAAAUGGAAAUAGAAGCAAUCAAGAAAGAACACAUGGAGACAACCCUGGAUAUAGAAAACCAAAAGAAGAGACAAGGAGCUAUAGAUACAAGUUUCACCAACAGAAUACAAGAGAUGGAAGAGAGAAUCUCAGGAGCAGAAGAUUCCAUAGAAAUCAUUGGCUCAACUGUCAAAGAUAAUGUAAAGCAGAAAAAAAUUCUGGUCCAAAACAUACAGGAAAUCCAGGACUCAGUGAGAAGAUCAAACCAAAGGAUAAUAGGUAUAGAAGAGAGUGAAGACUGCCAGCUCAAAGGACCAGUAAAUAUCUUCAACAAAAUCAUAGAAGAAAACUUCCCUAACCUAAAAAAAGAGAUACCCAUAGGCAUGCAAGAAGCCUACAUAACUCCAAAUAGAUUGGACCAGAAAAGAAACACCUCCUGACACAUAAUUGUCAAAACACCAAACGCACAAAAUAAAGAAAGAAUAUUAAAAGCAGUAAGGGAAAAAGGUCAAGUAACAUAUAAAGGCAGACCUAUCAGAAUCACACCAGACUUUUCGCCAGAAACUAUGAAGGCCAGAAGAUCCUGGACUGAUGUCAUACAGACCCUAAGAGAACACAAAUGCCAGCCCAGGUUACUGUAUCCUGCAAAACUCUCAAUUAACAUAUAUGGAGAAACCAAGAUAUUCCAUGACAAAACCAAAUUUACACAAUAUCUUUCUACAAAUCCAGCACUACAAAGGAUAGUAAAUGGUAAAGCCCAACAUAAGGAGGCAAGAUAUACCCUAGAAGAAGCAAGAAACUAAUCAUCUUGGCAACAAAACAAAGAGAAGAAAAGCACACAAACAUAACCUCACAUCCAAAUAUGAAUAUAACAGGAAGCAAUAAUCAGUAUUCCUUAAUAUCUCUCAACAUCAAUGGCCUCAAAUCCCCAAUAAAAAGACAUAGAUUAACAAACUGGAUACGCAACGAGGACCCUGCAUUCUGCUGCCUACAGGAAACACACCUCAGAGACAAAGACAGACACUACCUCAGAUUGAAAGGCUGGAAAACAACUUUCCAAGCAAAUGGUCGGAAGAAGCAAGCUGAAGUAGCCAUUCUAAUAUCAAAUAAAAUCAAUUUUCAACUAAAAGUCAUCAAAAAAGAUAAGGAAGGACAUUUCAUAUUCAUCAAAGGAAAAAUCCACCAAAAUGAACUCUCAAUCCUAAAUAUCUAUGCCCCAAAUACAAGGGCACCUACAUACGUAAAAGAAACCUUACUAAAGCUAGAAACACACAUUGCACCUCACAUAAUAAUAGUAGGAGAUUUCAAAACCCCACUCUCAUCAAUGGACAGAUCAUGGAAACAGAAAUUAAACAGAGACGUAGACAGACUAAGAGAAGUCAUGAGCCAAAUGGACUUAACAGAUAUUUAUAGAACAUUCUAUCCUUAAGCAAAAGGAUGCACCUUCUCAGCUCCUCAUGAAACUUCUCCAAAAUUGACCAUAUAAUUGGUCAAAAAACGGGCCUCAACAGGUACAGAAAGAUAGAAAUAAUCCCAUGCGUGCUAUCAGAUCACCACGGCCUAAAACUGGUCUUCAAUAAAAGUAAGGGAAGAAUGCCCACAUAUACAUGGAAAUUGAACAAUGCUCUACUCAAUGAUAACCUGGUCAAGGAAGAAAUAAGAAAGAAAUUAAAGACUUUUUAGAAUUUAAUGAAAAUGAAGGUACAACAUACCCAAACUUAUGGGACACAAUGAAAGCUGUGCUAAGAGGAAAACUCAUUGCUCUGAGUGCCUGCAGAAAGAAACAGGAAAGAGCAUAUGUCAGCAGCUUGACAGCACACCUAAAAGCUCUAGAACAAAAAGAAGCAAAUACACCCAGGAGGAGUAGAAGCAGGAAAUAAUCAAACUCAGAGCUGAAAUCAACCAAGUAGAAACAAAAAGGACCAUAAAAAGAAUCAACAGAACCAAAAGUUGGUUCUUUGAGAAAAUAAACAAGAUAGAUAAACACUUAGCCAGACUAACGAGAGGACCCAGAGAGUGUGUCCAAAUUAACAAAAUCAGAAAUGAAAAGGGAGACAUAACUACAGAUUCAGAGGAAAUUCAAAAAAUCAUCAGAUCUUACUAUAAAAGCCUAUAUUCAACAAAACUUGAAAAUCUACAAGAAAUGGACAAUUUCCUAGACAGAUACCAGGUACCAAAGUUAAAUCAGGAACAGAUAAAACAGUUAAACAACCCCAUAACUCCUAAGGAAAUAGAAGCAGUCAUUAAAGUUCUCCCAACCAAAAAGAACCCAGCUCCAGACGGGUUCAGUGCAGAUUUCUAUCAGAACUUCAUAGAAGAACUCAUACCAAUACUAUGCAAACUAUUCCACAAAAUUGAAACAGAUGGAGCACUACCGAAUUCCUUCUAUGAAGCCACAAUUACCCUUAUACCUAAACCACACAAAAACCCAACAAGAAAGAGAACUUCAGACUAAUUUCCCUUAUGAAUAUCGAUGCAAAAAUACUCAAUAAAAUUCUGGCAAACUAAAUUCAAGAUCACAUCAAAACAAUCAUCCACCAUGAUCAAGUAGGCUUCAUCCCAGGCAUGCAGGGAUCGUUUAAUAUAUGGAAAACCAUCAUCGUGAUCCAUUAUAUAAACAAACUGAAAGAACAAAACCUCAUGAUCAUUUCAUUAGAUGCUGAGAAAGCAUUUGACAAUAUUCAACACCCCUUAAUGAUUAAAGUCCUGGAAAGAAUAGGAAUUCAAGGCCCAUACCAAACAUAGUAAAAGUUAUAUACAGCAAACCAGUUGCUAACAUUAAACUAAAUGGAGAGAAACUUGAAGCAAUUCCACUAAAAUCAGGGACUAGACAAGGCUGCCCACUCUCUCCCUACUUAUUCAUUAUAGUUCUUGAAGUUCUAGCCAGAGCAAUCAAACAACAAAAGGAGGUCAAGGGUAUACAGAUCGGAAAAGAAGAAGUCAAAAUAUCACUAUUUGCCGAUGAUAUGAUAGUAUAUUUAAGUGAUCCCGAAAGUUCCAACAGAGAACUACUAAAGCUGAUAAACAACUUCAGCAAAGUGGCUGGAUAUAAAAUUAACUCAAAUAAAUCAGUAGCCUUCCUCUACACAAAAGAGAAACAAGCCGAGAAAGAAAUUAGGGAAACGACACCCUUCAUAAUAGACCCAAAUAAUAUAAAGUACCUCGGUGUGACUUUAACCAAGCCAGUAAAAGAUUUGUGCAAUAAGAACUUCAAGACACUGAAGAAAGAAAUUGAAGAAGACCUCAGAUGAUGGAAAGAUCUCCCAUGCUCAUGGAUUGGCAGGAUUAAUUUAGUAAAAAUGGCCAUUUUACCAAAAGCGAUCUACAGAUUCAAUGCAUUCCCCAUCAAAAUACCAAUCCAAUUCUUCAAAGAGUUAGACAGAACAAUUUGCAAAUUCAUCUGGAAUAACAAAAAACCCAGGAUAGCUAAAACUAUCCUCAACAAUAAAAGGACUUCAGGUGGAAUCACUCUCCCUGAACUCAAGCAGUAUUACAGAGCAAUAGUGAUAAAAACUGCAUAGUAUUGGUACAGAGACAGACAGAUAGACCAAUGGAAAAGAAUUGAAGACCCAGAAAUGAACCCACACACCUAUGGUCACUUGAUUUUUGACAAAGGAGCCAAAACCAUCCAAUGGAAAAAAGAUAGCAUUUUCAGCAAAUGGUGCUGGUUCAACUGGAGGUCAACAUGUAGAGGAAUGCAGAUCGAUCCAUGCUUAUCACCCUGUAAAAGCUUAAGUCCAGGUGGAUCAAGGACCUCCACAUCAAACCAGACACACUCAAACUAAUAGAAGAAAAACUAGGGAAGCAUCUGGAACACAUGGGCACUGGAAAAAAUUUCCUGAACAAAACACCAAUGGCUUAUACUCUAAGAUCAAGAAUCAACAAAUGGGAUCUCAUAAAACUGCAAAACUUCUGUAAGGCAAAGGACACUGUGGCUAGGACAAAACGGCAACCAACAGAUUGGGAAAAGAUCUUUACCAAUCCUACAACAGAUAGAGGCCUUAUAUCCAAAAUAUACGAAGAACUCAAGAAGUUAGACUGCAGGGAGACAAAUAACCCUAUUUAAAAUGGGGUUUAGAGCUAAAUGAAGAAUUCACACCUCAGGAAUGCCGAAUGGCUGAGAAACACCUAAAGAAAUGUUCAACAUCUUUAAUCAUAAGGGAAAUGCAAAUCCAAACAACCCUGAGAUUUCACCUCACACCAUUGUGAAUGGCUAAGAAAAAAACUCAGGUGACAGCAAAUGCUUGCGAGGAUGCGGAGAAAGAGGAACACUCCUCCAUUGUUGGUGGGGUUGCAGACUGGUACAACCAUUCUGGAAAUCAGUCUGGAGGUUCCUCAGAAAAUUGGACAUUGAACUGCCUGAGGAUCCAGCUAUACCUCUCUUGGGCAUAUACCCAAAAGAUUCCUCAACGUACAAAAGAGACACGUGCUCCACUAUGUUCAUCGCUGCCUUAUUUAUAAUAGCCAGAAUCUGGAAAGAACCCAGAUGCCCUUCUACAGAGGAAUGGAUACAGAAAAUGUUGUACAUAUACACAAUGGAAUAUUAUUCAGCUAUCAAGAACAAUGACUUAAUGAAAUUCGUAGGCAAAUGGUUGGAACUGGAAAAUAUCAUCCUGAGUGAGAUAACCCAAUCACAGAAAGACAUACAUGGUAUGCACUCAUUGAUAAGUGGCUAUUAGCCCAAAUGCUUGAAUUACCCUAGAUGCCUAGAACAAAUGAAACUCAAGACGGAUGAUCAAAAUGUGAAUGCUUCACUCCUUCUUUAAAAGGGGAAGAAGAAUACCCUUGGCGGGGAAUAGAGAGGCAAAGAUUAAAACAGAGACUGAAGGAACACCCAUUCAGAGCCUGCCCCACAUGUGGCCCAUAUAUAUACAGCCACCCAAUUAGAC